This is a long non-coding RNA of Lytechinus variegatus (green sea urchin), 4144 nucleotides long. RefSeq lists it as uncharacterized. NCBI's taxonomy places the organism in Eukaryota, Metazoa, Echinodermata, Echinoidea, Temnopleuroida, Toxopneustidae. The record is from RefSeq and is a predicted model, not a curated record. The transcript is spliced from 3 exons.
CCAUUUCAACAAAGGUAGUAUGGAUGCCUGUUCCGAGACUAAGUGGGGCUGUGACAUCAUGUCUAAGAAAUCAUCAGAUUGACCGUUUGAGAUUGGACCUACCUUCCUGACUGUGAAGCAUAGGAAUCAAAAUAUAUAAGCUUGUAAAUCCUUCUCUUAUCAUCUUUUAACUAUUAGGAAUGCCAGUUGGAAUUGAUCAGAGGGCCUGAAAAUCACCUAGAAUACAAUAUUUGGUACACAAAAAUGCUAAAACUAUGGCAAGAUGCCAGAGCCUGAAUUCAGGCUUUUGCCUGAAAACUGGCAUCCCUGAACUAUACUAACAUGUAGUGGUGUUAAAUAAUAGACACUAAUCUACUUUAGUAACAUCGGGUUGGUACGAACAGAAGAUCAGCAGUGGAGUAACAAGUUUGACCGCCUCUUUGCAAUGGUUAACAAACUUGGCCAGCUAAUUACAUGAAAACCCAACAACCAACUAAUCUUUCAGUGCUGUGGAGAAGGAACUUAUGGCUCUUCAUAAAAGAAUUCAGCAUCAGAAAAAAAACCCUGAAAAAAAACCCCUUGUAUAUAGACCUUUCUGAUUAAUGCUGUAUGAAUACGAGUGUGAGUCUGAGAAAAAGCAUCAUAGGGUAACAUAGGGUUGGUCCCAAUCAAAAAUCAGCAAAGGAGUAUCAAGUUUGACAGCCUUUUUGCAAUGGUUAACGAACUUGGCCAAGUAAUUACAUGAAAUCCGACAACCAACUGAUCUUUCAGUGCUGUGGAGAAGGAACUGUUGGCUCUACAUGACAGGAUACAAUCCUGUCUUUCAAUGUUAUCUUUUUCAAAAGGAAGACAGAAAUGAGAAUGACAGAUAAUAUCUGUGCAGCCAAUUGUUUAUUUUCCCCAUGUUGUUUUAAUUAGGUUGGGGAAUUUGUAGAUACUAAAGCAUAUCAACGAAGACACAUAGAACUGGAAGGAGAUGGGACCAAACUAGAAACAAAAUAAUCGGUGAUUUGUUGACACUCUUAAAAGCUGCUGUAUGUUCUUCAUUUAAUUUUUAUUUUGGACAUAAUACAUGGACAUGUGAUUUUAACAGGUAUUACCUUUGUACCUCUGGGAUGAUUUAGAACUGGAUUAACUGAUGACAUCAUGCACUUUUCAUCCUUUUUUUGAUCAAAAUAUUCAAGUCUCUCAGCCAUCAAUGUUGUGUGCUGCCCUAUAUAUUUGACUACAUGUAAGUACUUUCGAAUUCAAUUUCUCCCCUCCUGCAACUCGACCAUUCUGCAUUCUACAUUCCUCAUUUCCUCCAACUUUCACAUUCCUUUUGGUCAUGGAAGGUCAUAAGAAUAAAAAGGUGGUCCGUGCUAGUACUAACACCGCUACUAGUCUCAAUUCAGACCUGGCUGUUUCUCUGAAGGAGCUCUUAAAUGAAGCUGAAUUCGUCGAGGCUCUUGAGAAAUGUGUUGCAAAAAUCCUCAAAGCAAGGAUUGAAAAGAAUGAGGAAAGAAUAGAUAAGCAGGAGGGUGAGAUCCAUGACUUGAGGGUUAACCUAGCUAUGAAGGAGGAGAUAAAGACCCUCAAGUCAUCUGUGGAAAAACUGGAAUCAAGGAUGGCGGCUUGUCAGACUAGGGCUGACGAUCUGGAACAAUACAUUAGACAAAAUAAUGUGCGUGUUCUUGGAGUCCCAGAAGCACCAGUUGAAGACACCCACGAUCAGGUGAUCAAGAUCCUGUCAAACCACCUUGGCUACAACUUGACCAAGGCAGAGAUCGACAGAUCCCAUCGUUCCGGAAAGCCCCGUCCGAUAUUAGUGAAACUGUGCUCACAGAGAAGCUUGCACUGCUGAAAAAUCGAUGAAAGCUGAAGAACUCUGGCUUCUCCAUCCAGGAGGAUUUGACCAGGGCAAAUCACAAGAUUUUAAUGAAACUGGUGAAACACCCCAAAGUGGCUGCUGCCUGGUCAGCUGAUGGAAAGGUUAUAGCUGCCCUGAAAACCUCCCAAGAUGGUGUCCAAAUUAAGAAGGUUAUGAAACUUGCUUUGUUGCAUCUCUGCAACAAGUUACUGCCCUGUGAACUGUUCUUGAGUUCAUCUUUACUUCACAUGUAUAUAGCUAUAAACUGUUAAAGUAGAAGUAUAUAGAUUAUGAAACUUGCUUUGUUAUGUAUCAAUGGAAAGGUUAUGAUAUGGGGAUAACCGUUAUGUGAUUUGUAAUUGAAAAAAAAUUGGAGGGUGGAAAUUGCCAAUUAAAAAGUGCUAAAAUGCCAAUCUGAAUUAUGCCUUGAAUCCGCCUCUGAAAAGGAUUAAUUUUGAUGACAUGUAUGCCUGGACAAGGGACGUGAUUGGCCAUCCCAGCAUAUCCCACAUCAAGCUUCAAUCGCGUGCAAAACCUAUUGUGAAGGUACGUUUUCUGCUCACUGUCGCUGACUACAUCGAUAAUGAAAUGGAAGAAAACCCAGAAGUUUAUUUAGAUUUGGAUUUUGAAAUUGACGAUUUUGAAGAAGGAGAGACUGAUGAUGAAGAUUCCAGCUCGAGUGAAGAACAAAGUGCUGUGGAUGAAGGUGAAGGAGAAUACGCCGGUGAUGGUGGGUCGGAUGGCUCUGAGUCUGACGCUGCUGACCCGACUGCGGUUGGUUACGGAGCUAGAGCUGUGCACGCUGCCGCCGCUCUGGCGUACCAGCAUGAACCACUUCCUCUCGUCAGAGAAUUCGAUGACGCGGAACAUGAAGAAAACAUUGGAGAUGCGAGGCCAAGGGGCAACCAAGAUCAUACAAGGCUUGAUCCCAACAGCACUAAUAUUUGGUAUGUACACUUCUACUGUGACAGAUAUGCUGAUCAUCUGUACAUGAUAUUAAAACUUUGUUUGAUGUAGAAAAAAAAUGUGGGAUCUUCAAAGUUCAAUUUGAAAAUGAAUUUUGAAAUUUGACGUGAGUCUGACCCAUGACAUGUAGAUUUACUGAUCCGAGUGACAGAUACAUGUAGACCCAACCAUCAUGACAAAGACUGAGCUGAAAUAUGUGACUUUUGUCAACUCAUGACACACUGUCAAACAAUUCAAUAUUGAUAAUUGAGAUUUAUUAACUUCAUAUCACAUGCACGCGUUAGUGAUGCCCAACUAUUAAAACUCAAGUGUGAAACCUAAUUACAUGUAAAUCGGAUCUUGCCAAUUUGUCUUUGCACUUUGGCAUAACAGCUUCAUAGGUAUUUCCCAGCUGCUCCUUGUAAUUUUUUUUGAGAACUAGAGUGUUCAUUUUAUCAGAAUUUUUACAAGAAAAUGAAAAAUAGGAAUUUCUAGACUGCCGCUAGUUAUUUCUAUUUUUAGUUUGGAUUUGCCCCAUUUUCUGUGUUGUAGCUUACCCAUAACACAUUUUUCUGCGGUGAAAUACCUGUUGAUUUUGAAAUGAAAUCUACAUGUAGAUGUGUAUUGAUGAAUGCAUUUUUCUUUUAAUUUCCAUCAAAUUUAUAUUUACAUGUAGGUGCCGAUGCGGAGGAUUUUGUCGGGUUCUUCCAUCAUUUUCUGUGGGAGACUGCAUCUGCUGUCGGGAGAUCGAAGAAGUUAGGGUUGAAGCAGAUUUUCACGAUGACCUAUGCAUAACUCAGGUACCUUCCUUUGAUGCAGCAAUUUUGGACCCGGUGUCCCUGUUUAUUGCCUGGCAGCACUUUACUGAGAGGUGGAGACGACAAGCUCGAUCAUUUGCAGCGAGGAAUAAUGAACACAAGGACGAAUUUAAGACAGCGCUAUCCCCCUCAUUAGAUUGGAAGGACAUCAGUUCGUUAGAAAUGCCCUUGGGAAGGAGGAAAAAACAGCAUGUGCCAAAUGUCAAGUUCUAAGUUUCGUACUAGAAGGACAAUGUCAUGACAUGCUCCCCCGAAGAAGGAAAAGAUGUCUUACUUGUACUGCCACAUUUGUAAGAAGAGCAUAAAGGGAUAUAAGUACAACCAGCAUAUGCAAGAACACGAGGCGACUAUGACGCUACGAUGUACAUACUGUUCUUAUGAAACAGAGGGAAGAUCCGAGAUGACAAGGCACUUUGGUAGAGUGCAUAAUAAUAGGAAACAAGAGGCGAAGUAUAUCAACUACACAGCUGCCACGACGGCACAUAUUAGGAAACGUGAAGGGGAGAGGAGGGACAGGGAGGAAGAAGAAAGGAAGACAGAAAGGGAAAGCAGG